Molecule: ribosomal RNA, 354 nt
Filed under: Pseudoselenomonas ruminantium
Lineage: Bacteria; Bacillati; Bacillota; Negativicutes; Selenomonadales; Selenomonadaceae
Description: Selenomonas ruminantium partial 16S ribosomal RNA
Source: RNAcentral
GGAGUCUGGGCCGUGUCUCAGUCCCAAUGUGGCCGUUCAUCCUCUCAGACCGGCUACUGAUCGUCGCCUUGGUAGGCCGUUACCCCACCAACUAGCUAAUCAGACGCAGACCCAUCGCAAAGCGAUAGCUUACAAGUAGAGGCCAUCUUUAAUCAAUCUCCCAUGCGGAAAACUGACAACAUUCGGUAUUAGCACCCCUUUCGGGAUGUUGUCCCCAUCUUUGCGGCAGGUUGUCUACGCGUUACUCACCCGUUUGCCACUCGACUCUCAAAAGCAAGCUUUCAAUCGUCUCGUUCGACUUGCAUGUGUUAAGCACGCCGCCAGCGUCGUCCUCGAGCCACUGAUCAAACUACU